Molecule: ribosomal RNA, 253 nt
Filed under: uncultured bacterium
Lineage: Bacteria
Description: partial 16S ribosomal RNA
Rfam family: Bacterial small subunit ribosomal RNA
Source: RNAcentral
UACGGGGGGAGCAAGCGUUGUUCGGAUUUACUGGGCGUAAAGGGCGCGUAGGCGGCCUACUAAGUCGGACGUGAAAUCCCCGGGCUCAACCCGGGAACUGCGUCCGAUACUGGAAGGCUUGAAUCCGGGAGAGGGAUGCGGAAUUCCAGGUGUAGCGGUGAAAUGCGUAGAUAUCUGGAGGAACACCGGUGGCGAAGGCGGCAUCCUGGACCGGCAUUGACGCUGAGGCGCGAAAGCCAGGGGAGCAAACGGG